UAAUCUACCCUAGAGUUCGGAAUAACCUGACGAAAGUCGGGCUAAUACUGGAUAGAGCGAUGGAAUCCGUAAUUGGGUUUUUCGGGAAAGGGAGCUCGCAAGAGCCUUCGCUUUAGGAUGAGCCUGCGUCUCAUUAGCUAGUUGGUGGGGUAAUGGCCCACCAAGGCUUUGAUGGGUAGCUGGUCUGAGAGGAUGAUCAGCCACACUGGAACUGAAACACGGUCCAG
RNAcentral lists this ribosomal RNA (227 nucleotides) under uncultured bacterium. RNAcentral describes it as "partial 16S ribosomal RNA". It matches the Rfam family "Bacterial small subunit ribosomal RNA", at positions 122 to 334 of the family's 1533-position model. The record is from RNAcentral.